CAGGAAGAGAGUUGCCGCGGUCGCUCCUCGCUGUUCCGCCCACUUCCCUCAGUGGGUGCACGUUUCUCAGCCAGCUGGGCAGAUAGCUGCAGAAAUUGACCGGCGGGAGCGGAGUUCUCCGUGCUCCCGCCAGUCACUCGGACAUUUUUGCGCCCCUUGGGUCCGUGCGCCCUAAGGCGGCCGCUUGUGCCGCCUUAUGGUAGCGCCGGCCCUGCA
This is a non-coding RNA of Pelobates cultripes (western spadefoot toad), 216 nucleotides long. The record is from the annotation of a GenBank genome assembly. Lineage: Eukaryota; Metazoa; Chordata; Amphibia; Anura; Pelobatidae.